Molecule: ribosomal RNA, 218 nt
Filed under: uncultured bacterium
Lineage: Bacteria
Description: partial 16S ribosomal RNA
Rfam family: Bacterial small subunit ribosomal RNA
Source: RNAcentral
UACGUAGGGCGCAAGCGUUGUCCGGAAUUAUUGGGCGUAAAGAGCUCGUAGGCGGUUUGUCGCGUCUGCUGUGAAAGCCCGGGGCUCAACCCCGGGUCUGCAGUGGGUACGGGCAGACAGAGUGCAGUAGGGGAGACUGGAAUUCCUGGUGUAGCGGUGAAAUGCGCAGAUAUCAGGAGGAACACCGAUGGCGAAGGCAGGAUCUCCGUGGGCUGGCU